UGCGCUCCGGUUUAAUAAAAAGUGAUCGCGGAACUCGCGUGUGUGUAAGUGCGUUUGUGUUUGGAGGAGAGACGCCGGCCAAGGAGUCCCCAACGCAAAGAACCGUUAACUGAAAACAGAAAAUAACAUGAGAAUGUGGAGAAAAGAAAAGAAAGAAAAUAAAUAUGUAAUUCAUCUAAUGGAAGUACAGUCAUAACGAUUACCGCAGAAAAUUGAGGCCAGCAGAAAAUCAAAGCCUAAAAUAAAAAUGGAAGGACUCACAACCAGCCUAGAUGACAUCUCGGAACAAAUGGAACAAUUUGGAAGCCCAAACUACAAAUGGAAAGACUGACAACCAGCCUGGACUACGUCUAGGAUCAAAUGGAACAAUUUGGAAGCCGGCGGGGACGAAGACAACUGACCCAAGAAGAUGCCACAAAAAUAAGGGCACUGACUAAAAAUGCUGACCAUGCCACAUGUGGCGGGUCCUUUUUUGAAAUUCCACGUCCACAACGCUUCACUUUUUGCCUCACGCCGUGAAUAUGUUUUCAAUGAAAGGAAAUAUUCGGAAUUAUGCUCCGUGCCAGAUUCAGAUUUGGCAAUUUUGAUACAGAAUGAUGGGAAAUUCUUCUACGAAGCAUUUGAGGUGCUCCACCACGGAAUCGAGCACCUUUUGACGGAGAUAUAGGCAUUGCUGGCCCUGAACUGAUACAUGAACUUAUCCAACUUAUACAUUUCUGGUGACAGGAUAGCCGGAUGCAGAACAACUAUUAUAAUGGAUCAACGCUUUAACCCCGUAAAAUCAUCCCUCACAAGGCAAGGAAAUCCUUACCUAUCGGCCGUCGAAUUUGCAAUCGGAGAACCAACGGGACCGCUGAUAGACUUGGAACAUUAUUUAGCGUUUAAGACAAUUUUAAGCAUAUCCCUCAAAAUUUCCCUGAUCUCCAAUACUUCGGAUAUACGCGUUUCAGACGAUUCUAAAAAUUUCCCUCAAAAUUUCCCUGAUCUCCAAUACUUCGGAUAUACGCGUUUCAGACGAUUCUAAUAAAAU
This 1030-nucleotide small RNA is filed under the name Drosophila ananassae. Its description in RNAcentral is "GF26766". Lineage: Eukaryota; Metazoa; Arthropoda; Insecta; Diptera; Drosophilidae. The record is from RNAcentral.